UACGUAGGGUGCAAGCGUUGUCCGGAAUUACUGGGCGUAAAGGGCGCGUAGGCGGCGUGUCAAGUCAGGCGUGAAAGCCCCGGGCUCAACCUGGGAACCGCGCUUGAGACUGGCAUGCUCGAGUUCGGGAGAGGAUGGUGGAAUUCCCAGUGUAGAGGUGAAAUUCGUAGAUAUUGGGAAGAACACCGAUGGCGAAGGCAGCCAUCUGGACCGACACUGACGCUGAGGCGCGAAAGCGUGGGGAGCAAACAGG
RNAcentral lists this ribosomal RNA (253 nucleotides) under uncultured bacterium. RNAcentral's name for it is "partial 16S ribosomal RNA". It matches the Rfam family "Bacterial small subunit ribosomal RNA", at positions 524 to 776 of the family's 1533-position model. The record is from RNAcentral.